RNAcentral lists this ribosomal RNA (253 nucleotides) under uncultured bacterium. RNAcentral describes it as "partial 16S ribosomal RNA". It matches the Rfam family "Bacterial small subunit ribosomal RNA", at positions 524 to 776 of the family's 1533-position model. The record is from RNAcentral.
UACAGAGGUCCCGAGCGUUGUUCGGAUUCACUGGGCGUAAAGGGUGCGUAGGUGGCUUGAAAAGUUCGAUGUGAAAUCUCCGGGCUUAACCCGGAAAAGGCAUUGAAAACUGGCGAGCUGGAGGUUUGGAGGGGGGACUGGAAUUCUCGGUGUAGCAGUGAAAUGCGUAGAUAUCGAGAGGAACACCAGUGGCGAAGGCGAGUCCCUGGACAACACCUGACACUGAGGCACGAAAGCCGGGGGAGCAAACAGG